GGGGCUGAUAUAGCUUUCGACGAUUGGACAUUAACAGAUCAUUUUGCAAGUCGACAACUGACGUAAUCAGUAUUUUAAUUGCAAACACAUUUGCAUCAGCAGUAGCUAAGGUAAAGAACGCUUUUAGCGUUCCUAGUCUCGCUUUUGCGCCAGCUGUAGCCUAAGUGCUCAGCCGCUCCAUGCCUGACGUCAUAUAGUGCUAUCGGAGUGUCAUACUUAUAUGGCUUGAUGUAUCUGUAGCUGUGGAGCAGAUAUGUGACACUUAUUCAUAGACCGUUGUGAUCUUUUUUGUUAACUCCUGAUGUUCAUGACGUAUAUAGAGUUAACUAUGCUUGUAGACGAAUGAUCGGUUGCCGACCGGAGCGGGGGGCAGUACCCCGCAGCUCCACCA
This 391-nucleotide transfer-messenger RNA is filed under the name Patescibacteria group bacterium. It matches the Rfam family "transfer-messenger RNA". From Rfam's summary of the family: Bacterial tmRNA, also known as 10Sa RNA or SsrA, is named for its dual tRNA and mRNA-like properties. Its role is to liberate the mRNA from a stalled ribosome. The record is from RNAcentral.